GUAGUCUCGCACAGAUGCAUAUCAAUAAGCGGAGGAAAAGAAACUAACAAGGAUUCCCUCAGUAACGGCGAGUGAAGCGGGAAGAGCUCAAAUUUGAAAUCUUGAAAGGUCACCUUUCACGAAUUGUAGUUUAAAGAAGUGUUUUCUGUUACGAUCGUAAUAUAAGUUCUUUGGAAUAGGACAUCACAGAGGGUGAGAAUCCCGUCUAUGAUUGCGAUUUGUAGCUUUGUGAUACACUUUCAAAGAGUCGGGUUGUUUGGGAAUGCAGCCCAAAACGGGAGGUAAAUUUCUUCUAAGGCUAAAUAUUGGCGAGAGACCGAUAGCGAACAAGUACCGUGAGGGAAAGAUGAAAAGAACUUUGAAAAGAGAGUUAAAUAGUACGUGAAAUUGUCAAAAGGGAAGCGUAUAACACCAGUGUUGUUUUCUGAAAAUCAACCUCUGUUAGCUUUAUGCAUGUUUGUUUAGACCUAAUCAGCUAUCUUGCAUGUUCUAUUGUUUGCAGUGGUGCACUUUUCAGUUUACAGGUCAACAUCAGUUUUUUUUACCGUAAAAAAGUUAAAGAAAGGUAGCUCAUGGCUCCGGUCGUGAGUGUUAUAGUCUUUUUCCUAUGCGGUAGGAGAGACUGAGGUCUGCAGUGUAGGCUAUUUGGCUAGAUACUCAGGUGCUAUGUGAUACCAUUUCAUAAACAACUUGUUGAUUAUGUUUUGUCUAUUGCAUACUCGCUUGUACUAUCAUACCUACGCUUAGGAUGUUGAGUCGUAGAGCACGCAG
Molecule: ribosomal RNA, 771 nt
Filed under: uncultured Neocallimastigales
Lineage: Eukaryota; Fungi; Neocallimastigomycota; Neocallimastigomycetes; Neocallimastigales
Description: partial large subunit ribosomal RNA
Rfam family: Eukaryotic large subunit ribosomal RNA
Source: RNAcentral